CCUAAUUUCCUAAUACACACUAGCGAACCCACAGUCUCAUUCUUCUCUAAAGUUUGAAACGGUACCCCUCUCUCUCCCCAUUCUCUGUCGACUCCGGUGAGCGGCCGCCCUGAAUCGCAGCCUCCCUCUGGCGCGAAGAGGUCGGCCCCUGUUCUUCCUCCUCCUCUCCUUCCCUUUUGUGCCCUAUUUUUUCCCCAAGAACAAAAUCCUCAAUUUCUAGGGUUUUCAGCCUCUCUUUCCUCUCUGAAUUUCGCCCCUCCGGCGAAUCCCGCCACUACCACCGCCGCCUCGCACAGCUGCUCCCUGCCUCAGAUUUGGGGAUAACCAUCCAUUUUGACUGCAUUUUCCAAGAGCUUCAAAUGGUGGGAUAUGGAUGGGCUGAGAUGUUGAGAAAAUACUUGGUUGAUCCAGUUGAGAUGUGGUGGCCUUCCAAUGUCACACAAGUUUCCUUGUUUAGGUGAACUCGCUCGUGUUGGUGGAGGGUAAUCUUCUUUUCAUUUUAACAAUAUAGAUAGAAUAUUGAGAUCUUGAAGAUUACUUAUGUGUUUUCUGUAAAACCUUUUACCAAAAUAUUGAAUCCAAACCAAUGUCUUGCUUUUGAGAAAAUCAUUCAUCAUAUUUAUAUAUCUAUCAAAUUUGAUUUAGAUUCUGCAUUCUGUUAUAUUACUAUGCAUCAAUAUUUGAUAUAACUCACAUGUUGCCGGAUUUUUUUAAUUCUCCAGCUCAUUAGUGUAAUUGAGUUUAUCAUCUUGGCGGAUCAAGUAGAUGGGAGUCGAUGAGCUAUGAGGACUACUACAAAAGAGAAGGCUGAAGCAGAGAACGUCGUUUCAAAUGUCUAGCAAGUUGCGCGCAUUUGUAAUAUUUUUUAAUUAAUCAUAUAGCUAACUAGAAUAUUUGUGUUUGUUUUCAUUAUAUUUGGAUGAUAAUGUAUGAAUAUUUCGGAUAUUAUAUAAUAUAUGUUAUCGAUGGCAA
Molecule: long non-coding RNA, 972 nt
Organism: Salvia miltiorrhiza (redroot sage)
Lineage: Eukaryota; Viridiplantae; Streptophyta; Magnoliopsida; Lamiales; Lamiaceae
Exons: 4
Source: RefSeq, a predicted model, not a curated record